GUGGGGAAUUUUGGACAAUGGGCGCAAGCCUGAUCCAGCAAUGCCGCGUGCAGGAAGAAGGCCUUCGGGUUGUAAACUGCUUUUGUACGGAACGAAACGGUCCUGGUUAAUACCCGGGGCUAAUGACGGUACCGUAAGAAUAAGCACCGGCUAACUACGUGCCAGCAGCCGCGGUAAUACGUAGGGUGCAAGCGUUAAUCGGAAUUACUGGGCGUAAAGCGUGCGCAGGCUGUGCUGUAAGACAGGCGUGAAAUCCCCGGGCUUAACCUGGGAAUUGCGCUUGUGACUGCAGUGCUGGAGUGCGGCAGAGGGGGAUGGAAUUCCGCGUGUAGCAGUGAAAUGCGUAGAUAUGCGGAGGAACACCGAUGGCGAAGGCAAUCCCCUGGGCCUGCACUGACGCUCAUGCACGAAAGCGUGGGGAGCAAACAGGAUUAGAUACCCGGGUAGUCC
This 450-nucleotide ribosomal RNA is filed under the name uncultured bacterium. RNAcentral describes it as "partial 16S ribosomal RNA". It matches the Rfam family "Bacterial small subunit ribosomal RNA", at positions 354 to 796 of the family's 1533-position model. The record is from RNAcentral.